Molecule: ribosomal RNA, 508 nt
Filed under: Labiobaetis sp. BMNH 704656
Lineage: Eukaryota; Metazoa; Arthropoda; Insecta; Ephemeroptera; Baetidae
Description: partial 16S ribosomal RNA
Rfam family: Archaeal large subunit ribosomal RNA
Source: RNAcentral
CAUCGCUUGGGGCAAAAAUUCCAAGUAAGGCCUGCCCACUGACUAAUUUAACGGCCGCAGUAUCUUGACUGUGCAAAGGUAGCAUAAUCAUUUGUCUCCUAAUUAGAGGCUGGUAUGAAUGGCUACACGUGGAAAUAACUGUGUCACACACAAAAUUUAACUUAAUCUUUAAGUCAAAAAGCUUAAAUAUUCUAGCAGGACGAGAAGACCCCAUAGAUCUUUAUAUUGAUAUUUUUUUGUAACUUAGUCGCCCCGUCCAUAAAGAUUUAAAAUAUUUAGUUGGGGUGACAUGAAGUCAUAAACACUUCACACAAAAACAUUUAUAGUAGGACUAUUGACCCGGUAAGCCCGAUUAAAAAAUUAAGUUACCUUGGGGAUAACAGCGUAAUCUGCCCUUAGAGUUCUUAUCAAAUGGCAGGGUUGCGACCUCGAUGUUGGAUUAAGAAUCCCUCUAUGAGCAGCCCCGUGGAAGGGAGGUCUGUUCGACCUAUAAAUUCUUACAUGAUCU